GGCCCGUUCGUCUAGUGGUGAGGACACCAGGUUUUCAUCCUGGAGACAGGGGUUCGAUUCCCCUACGGGCUGCAA
This 75-nucleotide transfer RNA is filed under the name Bacteroidetes bacterium SW_11_45_7. Its description in RNAcentral is "tRNA-Glu". It matches the Rfam family "tRNA". From Rfam's summary of the family: Transfer RNA (tRNA) molecules are approximately 80 nucleotides in length. Their secondary structure includes four short double-helical elements and three loops (D, anti-codon, and T loops). Further hydrogen bonds mediate the characteristic L-shaped molecular structure. tRNAs have two regions of fundamental functional importance: the anti-codon, which is responsible for specific mRNA codon recognition, and the 3' end, to which the tRNAs corresponding amino acid is attached (by aminoacyl-tRNA synthetases). tRNAs cope with the degeneracy of the genetic code in two manners: having more than one tRNA (with a specific anti-codon) for a particular amino acid; and 'wobble' base-pairing, i.e. permitting non-standard base-pairing at the 3rd anti-codon position. Lineage: Bacteria; Pseudomonadati; Bacteroidota. The record is from RNAcentral.